CCUACGGGAGGCAGCAGUGAGGAAUAUUGGUCAAUGGACGAGAGUCUGAACCAGCCAAGUAGCGUUAAGGAUGACUGCCCUAUGGGUUGUAAACUUCUUUUAUAUGGGAAUAAAACGUUCCACGUGUGGGAUUUUGUAUGUACCAUAUGAAUAAGGAUCGGCUAACUCCGUGCCAGCAGCCGCGGUAAUACGGAGGAUCCGAGCGUUAUCCGGAUUUAUUGGGUUUAAAGGGAGCGUAGGUGGAUUGUUAAGUCAGUUGUGAAAGUUUGCGGCUCAACCAUAAAAUUGCAGUUGAAACUGGCAGUCUUGAGUACAGUAGAGGUGGGCGGAAUUCGUGGUGUAGCGGUGAAAUGCUUAGAUAUCACGAAGAACUCCGAUUGCGAAGGCAGUUCACUGGACUGCAACUGACACUGAGGCUCGAAAGUGUGGGUAUCAAACAGGAUUAGAUACCCCUGUAGUC
This 460-nucleotide ribosomal RNA is filed under the name uncultured bacterium. Its description in RNAcentral is "partial 16S ribosomal RNA". It matches the Rfam family "Bacterial small subunit ribosomal RNA", at positions 338 to 795 of the family's 1533-position model. The record is from RNAcentral.